RNAcentral lists this ribosomal RNA (253 nucleotides) under uncultured bacterium. RNAcentral's name for it is "partial 16S ribosomal RNA". It matches the Rfam family "Bacterial small subunit ribosomal RNA", at positions 524 to 776 of the family's 1533-position model. The record is from RNAcentral.
GACGUAGGCAGCAAGCGUUGUUCGGAGUUACUGGGCGUAAAGAGUGCGUAGGCGGUCAGCCAAGUUUGGUGUGAAAUCUCCCGGCUCAACUGGGAGGGUGCGCCGAAAACUGGUUGGCUAGAGUAUGGGAGAGGAAAGCGGAAUUCCUGGUGUAGCGGUGAAAUGCGUAGAUAUCAGGAGGAACACCUGUGGUGUAGACAGCUUUCUGGACCAAAACUGACGCUGAGGCACGAAAGCGUGGGUAGCAAACAGG